GAUGAACGCUGGCGGCGUGCCUAAUACAUGCAAGUCGAGCGAACAGACGAGGAGCUUGCUCCUCUGACGUUAGCGGCGGACGGGUGAGUAACACGUGGAUAACCUACCUAUAAGACUGGGAUAACUUCGGGAAACCGGAGCUAAUACCGGAUAAUAUAUUGAACCGCAUGGUUCAAUAGUGAAAGACGGUUUUGCUGUCACUUAUAGAUGGAUCCGCGCCGCAUUAGCUAGUUGGUAAGGUAACGGCUUACCAAGGCAACGAUGCGUAGCCGACCUGAGAGGGUUAUCGGCCACACUGGAACUGAGACACGGUCCAGACUCCUACGGGAGGCAGCAGUAGGAAAUCUUCCGCAAUGGGCGAAAGCCUGACGGAGCAACGCCGCGUGAGUGAUGAAGGUCUUCGGAUCGUAAAACUCUGUUAUUAGGGAAGAACAAAUGUGUAAGUAACUAUGCACGUCUUGACGGUACCUAAUCAGAAAGCCACGGCUAACUACGUG
RNAcentral lists this ribosomal RNA (497 nucleotides) under uncultured bacterium. RNAcentral's name for it is "partial 16S ribosomal RNA". It matches the Rfam family "Bacterial small subunit ribosomal RNA", at positions 28 to 507 of the family's 1533-position model. The record is from RNAcentral.